CCCGGCGCGGCCCGGCCCCUUCCGGCACGGCCCCCCCGCCGCCAUGGCUCCCUCAGGGGAGCGGGCGGUUUCUUUGCCUGAGGCGAGGCCCUGGCAGUGAGGAGCACAGAGCAAAAAGGGAAGUCUGUAGAAAAGUGACUGUGUCAGUGAAAGCGUGGAGAUGAAGGACACAAAGGGAAUCCAGAAAAGGCACUGGGAAGUGUCAGCCUUUGAAUUGUUUAACCUACGUCCUCACAGCAAAUGUCUGAGUUAACUGCCAAGUGAAAGCAUCACCACCCAACUUGGUACAGAAGUCCUGCGGUGGACACCUUGAGUUUGGACAUGACAAAGCUACAGUGCGUGAGAACAGCAUUUCAAACCACUAGCCCAACAGCCACGGCAACAGCUCCAUUUAGCCAUAGGUCCGCAGAUGUCAAGGUAGCCAAUUACAGCUGAACCAGAGUGGAUUCAAUUGCACAUCAUGACACUGCAGUACUGAAUUAAGCAUCUCAUUUAAGGAAUAUUUUUAUGCAGAAGUCUGAAAGUCACCGCUGGCUCUGCUGAAGCUGAAAAAUGAAGUGUGAUGAUGGUCUUGUUUGGGCAACGCUGUGAUAUAUAAGGAUAUAGUAAAGUAAUCUAAUCUC
This is a long non-coding RNA of Aquila chrysaetos chrysaetos, 623 nucleotides long. RefSeq lists it as uncharacterized. The record is from RefSeq and is a predicted model, not a curated record. The transcript is spliced from 4 exons. Lineage: Eukaryota; Metazoa; Chordata; Aves; Accipitriformes; Accipitridae.